GACGAACGCUGGCGGCGUGCUUAACACAUGCAAGUCGAGCGGUAAGGCCCCUUCGGGGGUACACGAGCGGCGAACGGGUGAGUAACACGUGAGCAAUCUGCCCUUCACACGGGGAUAACUUCGGGAAACCGGAGCUAAUACCCGAUACGACCACCUCGGGCAUCCGAUGGUGGUGGAAAGCUCCGGCGGUGAAGGAUGAGCUCGCGGCCUAUCAGCUUGUUGGUGGGGUAACGGCCCACCAAGGCAACGACGGGUAGCCGGCCUGAGAGGGUGACCGGCCACACUGGGACUGAGACACGGCCCAGACUCCUACGGGAGGCAGCAGUGGGGAAUAUUGGACAAUGGGCGAAAGCCUGAUCCAGCAACGCCGCGUGAGGGAUGACGGCCUUCGGGUUGUAAACCUCUUUCAGCAGGGACGAAGCGCAAGUGACGGUACCUGCAGAAGAAGCACCGGCCAACUACGUGCCAGCCGCCGCAGUAA
RNAcentral lists this ribosomal RNA (481 nucleotides) under uncultured bacterium. RNAcentral describes it as "partial 16S ribosomal RNA". It matches the Rfam family "Bacterial small subunit ribosomal RNA", at positions 28 to 523 of the family's 1533-position model. The record is from RNAcentral.